Molecule: small nucleolar RNA, 130 nt
Filed under: Trifolium pratense (red clover)
Lineage: Eukaryota; Viridiplantae; Streptophyta; Magnoliopsida; Fabales; Fabaceae
Description: snoRNA snoR74
Rfam family: Small nucleolar RNA snoR74
Source: Rfam by way of RNAcentral
AAAAAAGCAGUGGUUUGUUGCCUAUUGUGAACAGUCUUCUCGUUAAAUUCAGGGAUAUAAUAUCCAUUGUUUUUGGGUGAACCUUUAUUCCUAUUUUGUGAUCAAAGGUUCAGUAAAUAAUGGGACAUUU